GGGGAAGGGUUGGUAAUGGGAUUGGUGGAUAGGGGAAGGAUUGGUAAUGGGACUGGUGGAUAGGGGAAGGGUUGGUAAUGGGACUGGUGGAUAGGGGAAGGGUUGGUAAUGGGACUGGUGGAUAGGGGAAGGAUUGGUAAUGGGACUGGUGGAUAGGGGAAGGAUUGGUAAUGGGACUGGUGGAUAGGGGAAGGAUUGGUAAUGGGACUGGUGGAUAGCGGAAGGAUUGGUAAUGGGACUGGUGGAUAGGGGAAGGGUUGGUAAUGGGACUGGUGGAUAGGGGAAGGGUUGGUAAUGGGACUGGUGGAUAGGGGAAGGGUUGGUAAUGGGACUGGUGGAUAGGGGAAGGAUUGGUAAUGGGACUGGUGGAUAGGGGAAGGAUUGGUAAUGGGACUGGUGGAUAGGGGAAGGGUUGGUAAUGGGACUGGUGGAUAGGGGAAGGGUUGGUAAUGGGACUGGUGGAUAGGGGAAGGAUUGGUAAUGGGACUGGUGGAUAGGGGAAGGGUUGGUAAUGGGACUGGUGGAUAGGGGAAGGGUUGGUAAUGGGACUGGUGGAUAGGGGAAGGAUUGGUAAUGGGACUGGUGGAUAGGGGAAGGGUUGGUAAUGGGACUGGUGGAUAGGGGAAGGGUUGGUAAUGGGACUGGUGGAUAGGGGAAGGAUUGGUAAUGGGACUGGUGGAUAGGGGAAGGGUUGGUAAUGGGACUGGUGGAUAGGGGAAGGAUUGGUAAUGGGACUGGUGGAUAGGGGAAGGGUUGGUAAUGGGACAGGUGGAUAGGGGAAGGAUUGGUAAUGGGACUGGUGGAUAGGGGAAGGGUUGGUAAUGGGACUGGUGGAUAGGGGAAGGAUUGGUAAUGGGACUGGUGGAUAGGGGAAGGAUUGGUAAUGGGACUGGUGGAUAGGGGAAGGGUUGGUAAUGGGACUGGUGGAUAGGGGAAGGAUUGGUAAUGGGACUGGUGGAUAGGGGAAGGGUUGGUAAUGGGACUGGUGGAUAGGGGAAGGAUUGGUAAUGGGACAGGUGGAUAGGGGAAGGAUUGGUAAUGGGACUGGUGGAUAGUGGAAGGGUUGGUAAUGGGACUGGUGGAUAGGGGAAGGGUUGGUAAUGGGACUGGUGGAUAGGGGAAGGAUUGGUAAUGGGACUGGUGGAUAGGGGAAGGAUUGGUAAUGGGACAGGUGGAUAGGGGAAGGAUUGGUAAUGGGACUGGUGGAUAAGGGAAGGGUUGGUAAUGGGACAGGUGGAUAGGGGAAGGAUUGGUAAUGGGACUGGUGGAUAG
Molecule: long non-coding RNA, 1272 nt
Organism: Eriocheir sinensis (Chinese mitten crab)
Lineage: Eukaryota; Metazoa; Arthropoda; Malacostraca; Decapoda; Varunidae
Exons: 4
Source: RefSeq, a predicted model, not a curated record